Molecule: non-coding RNA, 299 nt
Organism: Sesamum indicum (sesame)
Lineage: Eukaryota; Viridiplantae; Streptophyta; Magnoliopsida; Lamiales; Pedaliaceae
Source: RefSeq, a predicted model, not a curated record
AGAUUGCACUCUAAAAUCCAUUGUAGGUGAAAUUGACAAAAAAGUGGUCGAAUUGGGAUCAAUUGGAGAUUUCUCAAGAUGCAUUUGGAAACGAGCAGAAGAAACAAUGAAAUAAAGGAAUAUCCCCAAAAAAAGAAAAGAAAAACAAACUCAAGAAAGCUAUAUAUACAAAAAAAAAAGAAGAAGAAAAAAAGAAAAAAAUGCAAUAUCUACAAGAGAUAAGAAAAAGAAAAAAGCAAUAUCCACUCGCUAACUGGAGUUGUUGUUCUGGAUACAGAGACAAUGGAGUGCUUGGAAAA